UGGGAGGUAAAUUUCUCCUAAGGCUAAAUAACGGCGAGAGACCGAUAGCGAACAAGUACCGUGAGGGAAAGAUGAAAAGAACUUUGAAAAGAGAGUUAAACAGUACGUGAAAUUGUUGAAAGGGAAACGAUUGAAGCCAGUCGUACCUAUGGGUAAUCAGCCUUUUGGGUGUGAUUUUGUGGAGCGUGAGGAGUUAAACGCCUUCAUGCCUGCAUAUUCGUGCACUUUGGGUGUACUUGCCCGUGUGUAAGUUAACAUCAAUUUUGGUGGUCGUAAAAUGGCUGGAGGAAUGUAGCUUCGAUCUUGUAUUGAAGUGUUAUAGCCUUCGGUAGAUGUGACGAUCGGGAUUGAGGAUUGCAACGGAUACCCUUCGGGGCUACCUGUCUGAUCUCUGAUUGUUGCUCUGGUACCGAAAGCUGCUUACGGUUAUCAAAGUCGAUGGUCAAUAGGUUAGAACGGGUUAAAUUCGUUAAGGAUGUUGACGUAAUGGCUUUAAACGACCCGUCUUGAAACACGGACCAAGGAGUCUAACAUAUAUGCGAGUGUUAGGGUGAAUAAACCCUUACGCGUAAUGAAAGUAAUUUUGGUGGGAUCACUUUUGUGCACCAUCGACC
RNAcentral lists this ribosomal RNA (614 nucleotides) under uncultured Glomeromycotina. Its description in RNAcentral is "eukaryotic LSU rRNA". It matches the Rfam family "Eukaryotic large subunit ribosomal RNA", at positions 293 to 766 of the family's 3401-position model. Lineage: Eukaryota; Fungi; Glomeromycota. The record is from RNAcentral.